GACAGAGGGUGCGAACGUUGUUCGGAAUUACUGGGCGUAAAGCGCACGUAGGCGGCCUGACAAGUCGGGUGUGAAAGCCCUGGGCUCAACCCAGGAAGUGCACUCGAAACUGCCAGGCUUGAAUAUGGAAGAGGGUCGCGGAAUUCCCGGUGUAGAGGUGAAAUUCGUAGAUAUCGAGAGGAACACCGGUGGCGAAGGCGGCCAACUGGACAGAUACUGACGCUGAGACUCGAAAGUGCGGGGAUCAAACAGG
Molecule: ribosomal RNA, 253 nt
Filed under: uncultured bacterium
Lineage: Bacteria
Description: partial 16S ribosomal RNA
Rfam family: Bacterial small subunit ribosomal RNA
Source: RNAcentral